GUGCUCACUUCGGCAGCACUAUACCAAAACUGGAAUGACAGAGAAGAUGAGCGUGGCCCCUGUGCAAGGAUAACAUGCAAAUUUAUGAAGCAUUCCUUUUAUUU
Small nuclear RNA from Octodon degus (degu), 104 nucleotides. The record is from Ensembl. Lineage: Eukaryota; Metazoa; Chordata; Mammalia; Rodentia; Octodontidae.